UGGGCUUCCCUAGUGGUUCAGAUGGUAAAGAAUCUGCCAGUAAAGAAUCUGCCUGCAAUGCAAGAGACCCGGGUUCAAUCCCUGGGUCAGUAUUUAAGACCAUUUAAAACAAACAACCUGACAACACUGAGAUGACAACCUGUCCCCCAAAGUGCAAAAUCAGCAACGAUGCUGGAGAGUCCAGAAAGCAGCCUGCUCUCGGAUGUGAAAUAUUGGCCAAAUUGUUGAGGCAGCUGAGCCCACAGCAAACGGCCUUGCUGUGAAAACAUCCUUGGCUGUUUGGUGGUAUCAGAGGGGACCAUGAGCCCAACCCCAGGUGACAGUGGGAAGGACUGAAGGAGCACCGCAUCAGAGGAGAAGGAAGAGAGUCAAGUGGAAGGAAAAACAGGAAGUGAAAGGGCUGCUGCCCUCCCUGAAUUAAAGGUUCACCAUCCUCCUGCUCUCAAGAGCAUCCAUAUGUUCUGUCACCCGCCCACAGAGGCGA
Molecule: long non-coding RNA, 484 nt
Organism: Bos taurus (domestic cattle)
Lineage: Eukaryota; Metazoa; Chordata; Mammalia; Artiodactyla; Bovidae
Source: Ensembl